CUAGUUCAUUAUAUUCGAACAUUAUUAAACACAAGAAGAUCCAUUUCUUCUUUUCCGCUGAUACUUACCCACAGAUCCAUCUCUCUUCUUCUAUUUUUUAUUUAUAAUAAUUCUUUCAGUGUAAUUGAUGAGUAAUUAUUGGAAGAAGAGAAGGCCUUGAGCAAAUCUUUUGACUGUUUGAUGGGCAACACAUGCCGCGGAUCUUUCAAAGGGAAACUUUACCAGGGCCACACUCAGCCCGAGGAACAAUCCACUGCUUCCCAUACCAAGCGAAAUCCUUCCUCUGACAAUUCCAACACAGAACAUUCUCCCUCCAGCCUCGCUGCUCAAGAAUUUUCCAAAGAAAAUCCCAAAAAAGACAACAAUUUGCCUCUCAUUAGCCCCAAUAAGAAAGAUUCAAUCAUGAGGCGUGGUGUUGAUACUCAGUCUUAUUAUGUUUUGGGUCAUAAAACUGCAAACAUUCGUGAUCUUUACACUUUAGGCCGUAAAUUAGGACAAGGACAAUUUGGGACUACUUAUUUAUGCAUUGAGAAUUCUACAGGGAUUGAAUAUGCCUGUAAGUCUAUAUCCAAGAGGAAAUUGAUUUCCAAGGAGGAUGUUGAGGAUGUUCGCAGGGAGAUUCAGAUAAUGCACCAUUUGGCUGGUCACAAGAAUAUUGUAACUAUUAAGGGAGCUUAUGAGGAUUCAUUGUACGUGCAUAUUGUUAUGGAGCUUUGCUCUGGCGGAGAGUUGUUUGAUAGAAUCAUCCAGAGGGGCCAUUAUAGUGAGAGGAAAGCAGCUGAAUUGACCAAGAUUAUUGUAGGUGUUGUUGAGUCAUGUCAUUCACUUGGGGUUAUGCAUAGAGAUCU
RNAcentral lists this unclassified non-coding RNA (848 nucleotides) under Hevea brasiliensis (rubber tree). The record is from RNAcentral. Lineage: Eukaryota; Viridiplantae; Streptophyta; Magnoliopsida; Malpighiales; Euphorbiaceae.